Carcharodon carcharias (great white shark) is the source of this 167-nucleotide long non-coding RNA. RefSeq lists it as uncharacterized. The transcript is spliced from 2 exons. Lineage: Eukaryota; Metazoa; Chordata; Chondrichthyes; Lamniformes; Lamnidae. The record is from RefSeq and is a predicted model, not a curated record.
AAAGUACAAGCUGCUGCCACAGUGCGUCUUGUAGAAAGUACAAGCUGCUGCCACAGUGCGUCUUGUAGAAAGUACAAGCUGCUACCACAGUGCGUCUUGUAGAAAGUACAAGCUGCUGCCACAGUGCGUCUUGUAGAAGAUACAAGCUGCUACCACAGUGCGUCUUG